GUAGGUGGCAAGCGUUGUCCGGGAAUUAUUGGGGCGUAAAAGCGCGCGCAGGCUGUUCUUUAAGUCUGAUGUGAAAGCCCACGGGCUCAACCGUGGAGGGUCAUUGGAAACUGGAGAACUUGAGUACAGAAGAGGAAAGCGGAAUUCCACGUGUAGCGGUGAAAUGCGUAGAGAUGUGGAGGAACACCAGUGGCGAAGGCGGCUUUCUGGUCUGUAACUGACGCUGAGGCGCGAAAGCGUGGGGAGCAAACAGGAUUAGAUACCCUGGUAGUCCACGCCGUAAACGAUGAGUGCUAAGUGUUAGGGGUUUCCGCCCCUUAGUGCUGCAGCUAACGCAUUAAGCACUCCGCCUGGGGAGUACGGCCGCAAAGGCUG
Molecule: ribosomal RNA, 375 nt
Filed under: uncultured organism
Description: partial 16S ribosomal RNA
Rfam family: Bacterial small subunit ribosomal RNA
Source: RNAcentral